UUAAUUAAAGCCAAAUAGAGGCUUUUCAUUGUUAAUGAAAAAAUUGAGUCAAACUCUAAUUAAA
Molecule: transfer RNA, 64 nt
Filed under: Nesidiocoris tenuis
Lineage: Eukaryota; Metazoa; Arthropoda; Insecta; Hemiptera; Miridae
Description: tRNA-Asn
Source: RNAcentral